GUUGCCAGCACGUAAAGGUGGGAACUCUGAAGAUACUGGCCCCGGUUAACGGGGAGGAAGGUGGGGAUGACGUCAAGUCCUCAUGGCCCUUAUGCCCAGGGCUACACACGUGCUACAAUGGCAUAUACAAAGGGUCGCGAUACCGCGAGGUGGAGCCAAUCCCAUAAAGUAUGCCACAGUUCGGAUUGGAGUCUGCAACUCGACUCCAUGAAGUUGGAAUCGCUAGUAAUCGCAGAUCAGCAUGCUGCGGUGAAUACGUUCCCGGGCCUU
This 270-nucleotide ribosomal RNA is filed under the name uncultured Desulfobotulus sp. RNAcentral describes it as "partial 16S ribosomal RNA". It matches the Rfam family "Bacterial small subunit ribosomal RNA", at positions 1114 to 1382 of the family's 1533-position model. Lineage: Bacteria; Pseudomonadati; Thermodesulfobacteriota; Desulfobacteria; Desulfobacterales; Desulfobacteraceae. The record is from RNAcentral.